Molecule: long non-coding RNA, 331 nt
Filed under: Hordeum vulgare
Lineage: Eukaryota; Viridiplantae; Streptophyta; Magnoliopsida; Poales; Poaceae
Description: long non-coding RNA (HVUL_LNC018033)
Source: RNAcentral
GUUCGGACUACAGCUGAUCGUGAGGACCACCGCAUCAGAUCAGCUGAGCGGGAAGGGCCCGACCUCGUCGUCGUAGGCGGGAUAAGGUGAGGUGAGAUGCGGUUUCGGGGCAAAAUUUCGUAUUUUAAUCAUGUUAUGUAAGUUGAUUCAAUCCUUUUUUUUUAAAUGAGAUCUAAUCUUUUUUCUAUUGUCAGGGUUUUUGAUGGUGAGGUAUAACAGCCUAUCGUGAAGGUUUUUCAACAAUAGGAAACUUCACAUCAACAGACCGGAUCCUUAUUGCCAGACAAGUUGGUAGUGUUACAAUAAAUGUGUUUGACCAACCUACGAAGUC